RNAcentral lists this long non-coding RNA (332 nucleotides) under Elaeis guineensis (African oil palm). Its description in RNAcentral is "long non-coding RNA (EGUI_LNC069863)". Lineage: Eukaryota; Viridiplantae; Streptophyta; Magnoliopsida; Arecales; Arecaceae. The record is from RNAcentral.
AGCUUCAACAUCGAGCAAAUCUCAGACGAACUUCUCUAGCAGCCGGACCCCUAUCGAUCUUCACCAACAGAAAGUUUCCAUCCGAGCUUCUCUUAGAUCGGCAGCAUAGAGAGCCAUCCCUCUCCAUCAGAUAUCCCAGCCGAGCUCCAGCCGACAGAUCCGAACUCUCCGACAAGUCACGACAAUGGCCACCACCCUGCUCCACUCUCUGCAACAGAUCCCGCGUGGCUCCACUACUCUCUGGUAAGUCGCGACAACAGACACCACUCCACUCUCCGUAACAAACUCCAUGUGGCCCUGAACGACCCCUGACGCCACUACUCUCCGUAACA